RNAcentral lists this ribosomal RNA (253 nucleotides) under uncultured bacterium. Its description in RNAcentral is "partial 16S ribosomal RNA". It matches the Rfam family "Bacterial small subunit ribosomal RNA", at positions 524 to 776 of the family's 1533-position model. The record is from RNAcentral.
UACGAAGGUCCCGAGCGUUAUCCGGAUUUAUUGGGUUUAAAGGGUGCGUAGGCGGGUUAUUAAGUCAGUGGUGAAAUCCUACAGCUUAACCGUAGAAUUGCCAUUGAUACUGAUGAUCUUGAGUAUGAUUGAGGUGGGCGGAAUGUGUCAUGUAGCGGUGAAAUGCUUAGAUAUGACACAGAACACCGAUUGCGAAGGCAGCUCACUAAGCCAUAACUGACGCUGAUGCACGAAAGCGUGGGGAGCAAACAGG